Molecule: long non-coding RNA, 774 nt
Filed under: Phascolarctos cinereus (koala)
Lineage: Eukaryota; Metazoa; Chordata; Mammalia; Diprotodontia; Phascolarctidae
Description: lncRNA (ENSPCIG00000033833.1)
Source: RNAcentral
AUGCAGCCCGGGUCCUGUGGGGCCGGAGAAAUUCUGGGCCAUAACGUUGUAGCUGGUGCCGGGGCCAGCUCACUGUUUGGUUUAGAGCUAGGACCCCUACACCGCUGCCCGGGCCCGUACGUCAGGCCUAGUGAAGCCCGGAGAGAGUCUCUGGGGCAGGUGAUUUCCAGAGUCUCCGGGUUCCCAAGGGUGCCCACUUGGGAGCAAGCCCAGGAAGUAAAUCCCGCUCCGGGGCUCUGGAAGCUCCAUGCGUCCGGGUCUUGGCGCCGCCCCGCCCGUAAGCUCCCGAGCCUCUUUCGCUGCAGGGAGGGGCACCCGGGACCUGGCGGGGACUGCGGCCGACAGCAGACUGGUGCGGGCAACGCGCAGCAUCCUCUAGCUUCUCCGGCCCCGCCGCCCAGGGGCAUCUCCUCCGCCCCGGGGAGGCAGGGGGCGGGGACCCAGAGCCCGCCCUGUAAUUCCUGCCCCGCCCGCGGGAGAGGAGGGGCUGCGGCUUGGCGGACCACUGAAGGCGCAGGAGCCGCUGCUGCUGUCUGGGGUGACCGAGACUUGGGUGCAGGCGGCUCUCCCAUCCAGCCCGGCCCGAACCUCUCUGGCUCCCGCUGCCUCCUGCUACACGGCUCGGCUCGGGGUGGCUCUUCUUUCCCUGCAGAUGAAGAAAUGGAGGAUUGAAGAGAUUGACCUACACUCAUUUGCAGGAUCUCCUAUCAUAAAGUUUUGGAACUCAAAGACCUGCUUGGAGGUGUGAUUAAUGUACCCUGCACACGAUGGACA